This 70-nucleotide transfer RNA is filed under the name Aedes aegypti (yellow fever mosquito). It matches the Rfam family "tRNA". From Rfam's summary of the family: Transfer RNA (tRNA) molecules are approximately 80 nucleotides in length. Lineage: Eukaryota; Metazoa; Arthropoda; Insecta; Diptera; Culicidae. The record is from Rfam by way of RNAcentral.
GCUCGGUAGCUUAGUUGGUAAAGCGCUCGUCUAGCAUACAAGAGUCCUGGGUUCAAAUCCCAGAAGAGCA